RNAcentral lists this ribosomal RNA (660 nucleotides) under uncultured bacterium. Its description in RNAcentral is "bacterial SSU rRNA". It matches the Rfam family "Bacterial small subunit ribosomal RNA", at positions 94 to 788 of the family's 1533-position model. The record is from RNAcentral.
AGUGGCGGACGGGUGAGUAACGCGUGAGAAUCUGCCUUGGGGUCGGGGACAACCACUGGAAACGGUGGCUAAUACCGGAUAAGCCGAUUGGUGAAAGAUUUAUUGCCCGAAGAGGAGCUCGCGUCUGAUUAGCUAGUUGGUGAGGUAAGAGCUCACCAAGGCAGCGAUCAGUAGCUGGUCUGAGAGGACGAUCAGCCACACUGGGACUGAGACACGGCCCAGACUCCUACGGGAGGCAGCAGUGGGGAAUUUUCCGCAAUGGGCGAAAGCCUGACGGAGCAAGACCGCGUGAGGGAGGAAGGCUCUUGGGUUGUAAACCUCUUUUCUCAGGGAAGAAGCUCUGACGGUACCUGAGGAAUCAGCCUCGGCUAACUCCGUGCCAGCAGCCGCGGUAAUACGGAGGAGGCAAGCGUUAUCCGGAAUUAUUGGGCGUAAAGCGUCCGCAGGUGGCGAUUCAAGUCUGCUGUCAAAGCACGGGGCUUAACUCCGUAAAUGCAGUGGAAACUGAAUAGCUAGAGUGCCGUAGGGGUAGAGGGAAUUCCCGGUGUAGCGGUGAAAUGCGUAGAGAUCGGGAAGAACAUCGGUGGCGAAAGCGCUCUACUUGACGGCAACUGACACUCAGGGACGAAAGCUAGGGGAGCGAAUGGGAUUAGAUACCCC